GUGCAUUGUGGGAGGUGGGAGAAACCAAGUGCUGAGGAUGAAGGGUGGGAUGUUUGUUCAUUUGAAAUUUGUGUGCCUUACCAAUGAUGGAAUUUGUAUACAUGACUGAUAAAUAAUAAUGGUUUGAUUAGUGCAUAUAGUUUAUAAAUUCAGGUUUGGUUAUUUGAUUAAAUUAAUUUCUGUUAACUUGCGUGACUGUCAAUGGUUUUGCCCAUCACUAUAAAUGCACACUAGCCGGACUAAGCCAGAUUUAUCAGUAUGAGAUUGCAGCUCCAGUGUAAGGAUGCAGGAAGAGAUUGUCAUGCUUGAAAUUAUGUGCUUACUUUCAUCAUUGGAUGUGCCAUUCAUGCCUUGGAUUAUUCCUGAUGUAGGCAAUCGUGUAGAUCCCCCUCCUAUUGACAGCUAUCUGGCAAUUCCAGAGUCCUAAUGCUGGUGUUAUUCCAGAUGUUGCCCCGCUAUACAUGUCUUGAGUUUGACUGACCAGGACUUGACCAGAGGACUCAAAGAGCAGGUUUUGCUACGUGUAUGCAAUGUGUAUAUUCAACAGUCUUUUGGUUUUCAUAUAGUAAACAUCAACCUGAUGACAACAAAACAUGUACUGUCUUCUAGGUAAGCUGGGCAGCUUCUUGGAGUUGGAUGUGCUGCUGUCCUGUAGCUUGAUAGCAGCUCACUUUUGAUGCAUUCCCCCCCACCCCCUCCCCGAUAGUCCUUGUUAUGGACAACUUCAGCACUCAUCUAGGUAAGUCUCAUUCCUAAUAAGCUCUUCUCGUUUGUUCUCUGGAAAUGGGGAGAGCUUUCUUCAGUAGAUUCUCAAGUGCUUGAAUAUCAGCUUUGACUUGUUUUCCAUUUGUGCAUAUUGUUUUCUUUACGGCAUUAAGACGUGUUCCCCAACAGUCUCUGAGUAACCAAUUUUACCUCUAUUACUUGGUGAGGAGCAGAACCGGUUAAAGUUGGUUUUGAAUAAUUAUUCAAAAUAUACGUUUUAAAAUACAAAUUGCUGUCAACUGACAAGGUUUGUGUCUUAACAGAAGCCUGUUGAA
Long non-coding RNA from Cyprinus carpio (common carp), 1040 nucleotides. The record is from Ensembl. NCBI's taxonomy places the organism in Eukaryota, Metazoa, Chordata, Actinopteri, Cypriniformes, Cyprinidae.